RNAcentral lists this ribosomal RNA (367 nucleotides) under uncultured organism. RNAcentral's name for it is "bacterial LSU rRNA". It matches the Rfam family "Bacterial large subunit ribosomal RNA", at positions 2099 to 2465 of the family's 2925-position model. The record is from RNAcentral.
CUUUACUGUAGCUUUGUAUUGGACUUUGAAUAGAUCUGUGUAGGAUAGGUGGGAGGCUUUGAAGUGUGGUCGCUAGAUCACAUGGAGCCAACGUUGAAAUACCACCCUGGUGUGUUUGAGGUUCUAACCUUGGCCCAUGAUCUGGGCUGGGGACAGUGCAUGGUAGGCAGUUUGACUGGGGCGGUCUCCUCCCAAAGUGUAACGGAGGAGUUCGAAGGUACGCUAGUUACGGUCGGACAUCGUGACGAUAGUGCAAUGGCAUAAGCGUGCUUAACUGCGAGACUGACAAGUCGAGCAGAUGCGAAAGCAGGACAUAGUGAUCCGGUGGUUCUGUAUGGAAGGGCCAUCGCUCAACGGAUAAAAGGUA